AGAGAGAGACAUGCGCGCAUAUCAAUAAGCGGAGGAAAAGAAACUAACUAGGAUUCCCUCAGUAACGGCGAGUGAAGCGGGAAGAGCUCAAAUUUGAAAUCUUCAAGGUUCUACCUUGACGAAUUGUAGUUUAAAGAAGUGUUUUCUGUUGGAGUUUUGGUAAAAGUUCUUUGGAAUAGGACAUCAUAGAGGGUGAGAAUCCCGUAUUUGACCAUUAUUUCCAGCUUUGUGAUACACUUUCAAAGAGUCGGAUUGUUUGGGAAUGCAGUCCAAAAUGGGUGGUAAAUUUCAUCUAAAGCUAAAUAUUGGCGAGAGACCGAUAGCGAACAAGUACCGUGAGGGAAAGAUGAAAAGAACUUUGAAAAGAGAGUUAAACAGUACGUGAAAUUGUCAAAAGGGAAGCGUUUGACACCAGUGUUGUUUUCUCGAAAAUCAAUUAAAAAGAGUUAGAUUUUGUUGUGUAUUGACCUUAACAGCUUGCAUUUCAAUUUUCUUGCUUUUUUUAAUGUACUUUUCGUUUAACAAGUCAACAUCAGUUUCUUUUGUUGUAAAAAGGUCAUUGGAAGGUGGCUUUCUUUUCGGAGAAAGUGUUUAUAGCCUUUGACUCCUGCAAUCGGAGAGACUGAGGUCUGCAGCGUAGAUCCUUCGGGGCUAAAUGCAUUUGUGCUAAGUUAUAGCAUUUUAUAGACAACUUGUUGACUAUGAUUUGUCUUGUAGCUUACUCGCUUAUGUUAUUUUACCUACGCUUAGGAUGUUGAUGUGAUACUGCGAGCA
RNAcentral lists this ribosomal RNA (774 nucleotides) under uncultured Neocallimastigales. RNAcentral's name for it is "partial large subunit ribosomal RNA". It matches the Rfam family "Eukaryotic large subunit ribosomal RNA", at positions 23 to 629 of the family's 3401-position model. Lineage: Eukaryota; Fungi; Neocallimastigomycota; Neocallimastigomycetes; Neocallimastigales. The record is from RNAcentral.